RNAcentral lists this ribosomal RNA (253 nucleotides) under uncultured bacterium. Its description in RNAcentral is "partial 16S ribosomal RNA". It matches the Rfam family "Bacterial small subunit ribosomal RNA", at positions 524 to 776 of the family's 1533-position model. The record is from RNAcentral.
UACGUAGGGGGCAAGCGUUGUCCGGAUUUAUUGGGCGUAAAGAGCGUGUAGGCGGCCUGACAGGUCUGCUGUGAAAACUCGAGGCUCAACCUCGAGAUGUCGGCGGAAACCGUCUGGCUAGAGUCCGGAAGAGGAGAGUGGAAUUCCUGGUGUAGCGGUGAAAUGCGCAGAUAUCAGGAAGAACACCUAUGGCGAAGGCAGCUCUCUGGGCCGAUACUGACGCUGAGGAGCGAAAGCGUGGGGAGCGAACAGG